AGUGAACGCUGGCGAUAGGCCUAACACAUGCAAGUCGAACGGCAGCACAGUAAGAGCUUGCUCUUACGGGUGGCGAGUGGCGGACGGGUGAGGUAUACAUCGGAAUCUACUUUUUCGUGGGGGAUAACGUAGGGAAACUUACGCUAAUACCGCAUACGACCUACGGGUGAAAGCAGGGGAUCUUCGGACCUUGCGCGAUUGAAUGAGCCGAUGUCGGAUUAGCUAGUUGGCGGGGUAAAGGCCCACCAAGGCGACGAUCCGUAGCUGGUCUGAGAGGAUGAUCAGCCACACUGGAACUGAGACACGGUCCAGACUCCUACGGGAGGCAGCAGUGGGGAAUAUUGGACAAUGGGCGCAAGCCUGAUCCAGCCAUACCGCGUGGGUGAAGAAGGCCUUCGGGUUGUAAAGCCCUUUUGUUGGGAAAGAAAAGCAGCAGGUUAAUACCCCGCUGUUCUGACGGUACCCAAAGAAUAAGCACCGGCUAACUUCGUG
This 492-nucleotide ribosomal RNA is filed under the name uncultured bacterium. RNAcentral's name for it is "partial 16S ribosomal RNA". It matches the Rfam family "Bacterial small subunit ribosomal RNA", at positions 29 to 507 of the family's 1533-position model. The record is from RNAcentral.